GCCUCCUCCGCUCGUUGAGGUUGGCGAUGAGGUUGACAUAGGACCCGGAGCUAGGGUGAGAGGCGGCAGCCGUAGCAAUAAUCGGGAUGAUGACAUCGCUGGUGGACAGGAGGUGGGCGGUGGACUGGCGGCCCCUUGGGGUUGGGAGGGGGAGGUCGAGGAAGCCCGAUGGGAACUCCCGCUUGAUGUGGGGCCUGCUGCUUCGGCUGGUGGACGGGCUGGAGAACCCCCCGGGGCUUCUCGACAGGAGAGGCUCGUCAAUAUCCAUGGUGGGGAAUCCGCAUGCCCGGCGAGUUAACAGAGGAACGAGAAGUUCUUGUUCUGAGUUUCUUACUGACGACGACGAUGAGAGGUAGUUGGCUUGGGUGGGGACCUACUUGUAUGGGCAAAAUCGUCCUUUUUAGUUCAUUUUCAACCGCUCGCUCCUCUUCAGUUAAAAUGCUGGUAGUUGCAAGCUUUCUUCACUUCCAGUUCCCGCCAGAAAGUCGGAACCCUACUCUGCUUUCCGGUCGCGCGAUCGCACAUCGAGCGGCUGGUGGAAUACUGCACAGUUCCGCUCGGAACACUAAUGGUGCAUGAUUAAUCAACAAUUACAGCCUUCUGGUCAUCUUCUUCCUAGAGUUUCAGUCACAGGCUUCAACUGCUCAAACAACUGAGUUUCAACACGGGACACCGCUCCGUCUCCAGAUCCCUAGCUCCCAGGAGAAACUGGCCAUGUGAAACAAAACAAUCUUCCAGUACCCUUCGAUCCACCAAUAUGGGAGAAGGACCCUCUAGCCGUCCUCGCUUUUCCUUUUCCAGGUGCAAGGGAGACUGCUCCAUUGCCAUUAAUUAAGCGAUAGUUACUAGUCAUGGAAUGGUCCAGACACCGCUUGAUCGUAUUUAUGGAGCGGUUUCCGUACAACCCUUUACCCGUGCUGCUGUUCGAACUACGUUUCAUCCACUGCUUUGUAGGGAGCCCUUUCCGUUUGAAACAGUGAUUUAAUGGAGAAAGAGGAAACCUGUGUGUGUCUGCUUCUCUUUCACCCUGAACUAACAUCAUCGCUCAACUGUGUUCCACAUACUAUAACUUCAUUUGAUUUUUGAAAAUGAUGCUAAAAGUUCA
Punica granatum (pomegranate) is the source of this 1105-nucleotide non-coding RNA. The record is from RefSeq and is a predicted model, not a curated record. NCBI's taxonomy places the organism in Eukaryota, Viridiplantae, Streptophyta, Magnoliopsida, Myrtales, Lythraceae.